This 915-nucleotide ribosomal RNA is filed under the name uncultured Cellulomonas sp. QSSC9L-7. RNAcentral's name for it is "bacterial SSU rRNA". It matches the Rfam family "Bacterial small subunit ribosomal RNA", at positions 559 to 1467 of the family's 1533-position model. The record is from RNAcentral. Lineage: Bacteria; Bacillati; Actinomycetota; Actinomycetes; Micrococcales; Cellulomonadaceae.
CUCGUAAAGAGCUCGUAGGCGGAUGGUCGCGUCUGCUGUGAAAACCCGAGGCUCAACCUCGGCGUGCAGUGGGAUACGGGCCGACUAGAAUGUGGUAGGGGAGACUGGAAUUCCUGGUGUAGCGGUGAAAUGCGCAGAUAUCAGGAGGAACACCGAUGGCGAAGGCAGGUCUCUGGGCCAUUAUUGACGCUGAGAAGCGAAAGCAUGGGGAGCGAACAGGAUUAGAUACCCUGGUAGUCCAUGCCGUAAACGUUGGGCACUAGGUGUGGGGUCCAUUCCACGGGUUCCGCGCCGUAGCUAACGCAUUAAGUGCCCCGCCUGGGGAGUACGGCCGCAAGGCUAAAACUCAAAGGAAUUGACGGGGGCCCGCACAAGCGGCGGAGCAUGCGGAUUAAUUCGAUGCAACGCGAAGAACCUUACCAAGGCUUGACAUUCACCGGAUCGCCGCAGAGAUGUGGUUUCCCUUUGGGUCGGUGGACAAGUGGUGCAUGGUUGUCGUCAGCUCGUGUCGUGAGAUGUUGGGUUAAGUCCCGCAACGAGCGCAACCCUCGUUCUAUGUUGCCAGCGGGUUAUGCCGGGGACUCAUAGGAGACUGCCGGGGUCAACUCGGAGGAAGGUGAGGACGACGUCAAAUCAUCAUGCCCUUUAUGUCUUGGGCUUCACGCAUGCUACAAUGGCCGGUACAAAGGGCUGCGAUACCGCGAGGUGGAGCGAAUCCCAAAAAGCCGGUCUCAGUUCGGAUUGGGGUCUGCAACUCGACCCCAUGAAGUCGGAGUCGCCAGUAAUCGCAGAUCAGCAACGCUGCGGUGAAUACGUUCCCGGGCCUUGUACACACCGCCCGUCACGUCACGAAAGUCGGUAACACCCGAAGCCCAUGGCCCAACCGGUUUACCGGGGGGAGGGUCGAAGGUGGGA